GGUUCUCCCCGAAAGCUAUUUAGGUAGCGCCUCGUGAAUUCAUCUCCGGGGGUAGAGCACUGUUUCGGCUAGGGGGCCAUCCCGGCUUACCAACCCGAUGCAAACUGCGAAUACCGGAGAAUGUUAUCACGGGAGACACACGGCGGGUGCUAACGUCCGUCGUGAAGAGGGAAACAACCCAGACCGCCAGCUAAGGUCCCAAAGUCAUGGUUAAGUGGGAAACGAUGUGGGAAGGCCCAGACAGCCAGGAUGUUGGCUUAGAAGCAGCCAUCAUUUAAAGAAAGCGUAAUAGCUCACUGGUCGAGUCGGCCUGCGC
RNAcentral lists this ribosomal RNA (316 nucleotides) under Salmonella enterica. RNAcentral's name for it is "partial 23S ribosomal RNA". It matches the Rfam family "Bacterial large subunit ribosomal RNA", at positions 851 to 1164 of the family's 2925-position model. Lineage: Bacteria; Pseudomonadati; Pseudomonadota; Gammaproteobacteria; Enterobacterales; Enterobacteriaceae. The record is from RNAcentral.